RNAcentral lists this ribosomal RNA (860 nucleotides) under uncultured Bacillota bacterium. RNAcentral describes it as "bacterial SSU rRNA". It matches the Rfam family "Bacterial small subunit ribosomal RNA", at positions 58 to 952 of the family's 1533-position model. Lineage: Bacteria; Bacillati; Bacillota. The record is from RNAcentral.
CAAGUCGCACGAGAAAGGGAGCAAUCCUAAGUAAAGUGGCGCACGGGUGAGUAACACGUGGAUCAUCUACCUUUUAGUGGGGAAUACCUCCGGGAAACUGGAGACAAUACCGCAUAAGCUCGUAAGAGGAAAGCAGCAAUGCGCUGAAAGAGGAGUCCGCGGCCGAUUAUGCUAGAUGGCGGGGUAACGGCCCACCAUGGCGAAGAUCGGUAGCCGGCCUGAGAGGGCACACGGCCACACUGGCACUGAAACACGGGCCAGACUCCUACGGGAGGCAGCAGUGGGGAAUCUUGCACAAUGGAGGAAACUCUGAUGCAGCGACGCCGCGUGAGCGAUGAAGCCCUUCGGGGUGUAAAGCUCUUUCGACAGGAACGAUAAUGACGGUACCUGAAGAAGAAGCUGCGGCUAACUACGUGCCAGCAGCCGCGGUAAUACGUAGGCAGCAAGCGUUGUUCGGAAUUACUGGGCGUAAAGAGUGUGUAGGCUGUGCUCUAAGUCUGGUGUGAAAUCUCCCGGCUUAACUGGGAGGGUGCGCCGGAAACUGGGGUGCUAGAGUAUGGGAGAGGCAAGCGGAAUUCCUGGUGUAGCGGUGAAAUGCGUAGAUAUCAGGAGGAACACCUGUGGUGUAGACAGCUUGCUGGACCAUUACUGACGCUGAGACACGAAAGCGUGGGUAGCAAACAGGAUUAGAUACCCUGGUAGUCCACGCCCUAAACGAUGCAUACUUGGUGUGAGCCAUUCAUUUGGUUCGUGCCGGAGCUAACGCGUUAAGUAUGCCGCCUGGGGAGUACGGUCGCAAGGCUGAAACUCAAAGGAAUUGACGGGGGCCCGCACAAGCGGUGGAGCAUGUGGUUCAAUUC